Molecule: ribosomal RNA, 441 nt
Filed under: uncultured bacterium
Lineage: Bacteria
Description: partial 16S ribosomal RNA
Rfam family: Bacterial small subunit ribosomal RNA
Source: RNAcentral
CCUACGGGUGGCAGCAGUAGGGAAUCUUCCACAAUGGGCGAAAGCCUGACGCAGCAACGCCGCGUGAGUGAAGAAGGUCUUCGGAUCGUAAAGAUCUGUUAGUAGAGACGAAACUGCACGGUAGUCACAGAGCAAGCAUCGACUAACUCUGAGCCAGCAGCCGCGGCAAUACGGAGGGUGCAAGCGUUGUCCGGAAUGAUUGGGCGUAAAGUGUACGUAGUUGGUAUGUUAAGUCUGUUGGUAAAUGCAGAGGCUUAACUGGUGUGCGGCACUGGAAACUGGUAAGCUUGAAUGCUGUAGAGGUGAGGGGAAUUCCAGGUGUAGCGGUGAAAUGCGUAGAUAUAUGGAGGAACACCGGUGGCGUAAGCGCUUUACUGGGCUGUAACUGACGCUGAGGAUCGAAAGCGGGGGUAGCAAACGGGAUUAGAUACCCGGGUAGUC